Molecule: ribosomal RNA, 253 nt
Filed under: uncultured Caulobacterales bacterium
Lineage: Bacteria; Pseudomonadati; Pseudomonadota; Alphaproteobacteria; Caulobacterales
Description: partial 16S ribosomal RNA
Rfam family: Bacterial small subunit ribosomal RNA
Source: RNAcentral
UACGAAGGGGGCUAGCGUUGCUCGGAUUUACUGGGCGUAAAGGGCGCGUAGGCGGAUGACCAAGUUGGGGGUGAAAGCCCGGGGCUCAACCUCGGAAUUGCCUUCAAAACUGGUUGUCUUGAGUAUGGGAGAGGUGUGUGGAACUCCGAGUGUAGAGGUGAAAUUCGUAGAUAUUCGGAAGAACACCAGUGGCGAAGGCGACACACUGGCCCAUUACUGACGCUGAGGCGCGAAAGCGUGGGGAGCAAACAGG